This 41-nucleotide non-coding RNA is filed under the name unclassified sequences. RNAcentral's name for it is "L31-Actinobacteria ribosomal protein leader". It matches the Rfam family "L31-Actinobacteria ribosomal protein leader". The record is from RNAcentral.
AUGGUUCCGGUUCACCCGCCGUCCGGCGGGACCCGGCGACC